This 74-nucleotide transfer RNA is filed under the name Darwinula stevensoni. It matches the Rfam family "tRNA". Rfam says of the family: Transfer RNA (tRNA) molecules are approximately 80 nucleotides in length. Their secondary structure includes four short double-helical elements and three loops (D, anti-codon, and T loops). RNAcentral also lists the same sequence under 3 other names. The record is from Rfam by way of RNAcentral. Lineage: Eukaryota; Metazoa; Arthropoda; Ostracoda; Podocopida; Darwinulidae.
CGGGUCAUAGCUCAGUUGGUUAGAGCGCCACGUUGACAUCGUGGAGGUCACAGGUUCGAAUCCCGUUGAUCCGA